Molecule: ribosomal RNA, 253 nt
Filed under: uncultured bacterium
Lineage: Bacteria
Description: partial 16S ribosomal RNA
Rfam family: Bacterial small subunit ribosomal RNA
Source: RNAcentral
UACGUAGGGGGCAAGCGUUGUCCGGAUUUAUUGGGCGUAAAGAGCGUGUAGGCGGCCAAGCAGGUCCGCUGUGAAAACUCGAGGCUCAACCUCGAGACGUCGGCGGAAACCAUCUGGCUAGAGUCCGGAAGAGGAGAGUGGAAUUCCUGAUGUAGCGGUGAAAUGCGCAGAUAUCAGGAAGAACACCCGUGGCGAAGGCGGCUCUCUGGGACGGUACUGACGCUGAGACGCGAAAGCGUGGGGAGCGAACAGG